ACGUUAGCGGCGGACGGGUGAGUAACACGUGGGUAACCUACCUAUAAGACUGGGAUAACUUCGGGAAACCGGAGCUAAUACCGGAUAAUAUUUCGAACCGCAUGGUUCGAUAGUGAAAGAUGGUUUUGCUAUCACUUAUAGAUGGACCUGCGCCGUAUUAGCUAGUUGGUAAGGUAACGGCUUACCAAGGCGACGAUACGUAGCCGACCUGAGAGGGUGAUCGGCCACACUGGAACUGAGACACGGUCCAGACUCCUACGGGAAGGCAGCAGCG
Molecule: ribosomal RNA, 274 nt
Filed under: uncultured Staphylococcus sp.
Lineage: Bacteria; Bacillati; Bacillota; Bacilli; Caryophanales; Staphylococcaceae
Description: partial 16S ribosomal RNA
Rfam family: Bacterial small subunit ribosomal RNA
Source: RNAcentral